Alexandromys fortis (reed vole) is the source of this 2653-nucleotide long non-coding RNA. RefSeq lists it as uncharacterized. The record is from RefSeq and is a predicted model, not a curated record. The transcript has 3 exons. NCBI's taxonomy places the organism in Eukaryota, Metazoa, Chordata, Mammalia, Rodentia, Cricetidae.
GGCAGUGCCAUCCCUGGGCAGGUGGUCCUGAGUUCAGUAUGAAAGCAGGCUGAGCAAGCCAUAGGAGGCAAGCCAGUAAGUAGCAGCCCUCCAUGGCCUCCGCAUCAGGUUCCUGCCUGGCUUGAGUUCCUGUUCUGACGUCCUUUAGUAAUGGACUACAGUGUGGAAUUGUAAGCCACAUAAACCCACCAUGCUUUUGGUCAUGGUAUUUCAUCGUAGCAACAGCGAACCUAAGACAGAAGUUGGUAUCAAGGUAUUGCUGUGACAAAUAGCUGUGACAGACCUGACCGUAUUGCUCUGGGGAGGAUUGCAGAAGGACUCUGGAACUUUGUGGGAUGUUCUGUAGGAUCUCAGAAGAUAAGAACGUUGAAAGCAAUGAAGACGAUGGAGGUCUGGCUUGUGAAGUUUCAGAGGGAAGCAAAGACUCCACUGGGCCAUUUCUGUGAAGAAUCUGUGUGUCUGGUCAGCUGGAGCUGAACAAUUGGCUGUGAUUAAUAAGAGACCAGAAUCACUAAAAUCAAACCUUCCCCCCUCCCCCCGGGACAGUGGAUGCUGGUCAGCUCGGGCCGAGGAUCAGCUUUGGUUAAGAAGAGGCCACACAUGCCAGUUGUAUUUGGAGGCGGUUAAGGUUGUACCUUGUGCUGGUAGCCAGGCUUGACCGUGAGUAAGAGUCACCCAGAUGAUACUGGUUUUGAAGGCGUGCAGGGGUCAUGGGGAAAAGCCGAGGCUUGGCACUGGGAGAGGCCGGGAGAGGCUACUGUUGAAAGUGCAGCCCGGUUGCAGCAGAGACCUCAGCGUUUUGAGAUGCAGAACCAUGGAACUGUGGCUAACAACAGCAGCAGCAGUGGAGUGGGGGUGGCCCAAGCUCAGCAGACAAACUGUGUGUACUGCAGAGGGCAGAGCUACAGACGUGGUUCAGGCCCAUGGAGGAUCCCAGAAGAUUCCCCAUCAUGAGCUGACCUACAACAGAGAGGAGAAGAUGCUCCAAUCGAGGCUGAGGUGGUCCUGCGGACAACUAUUUCUGCCUGAGUCAUUGAGACAGCGCUCACCUAAGAACUAGCUGGAGAUUCUCCAUCCUGAGGCUGCCUGUCACUUUCCAGCCAAGACACUUAUCAGCUCCCUCAGAAGCCCCUGGGUUAUAUUGCUCUCUGGAUACUUCCCUGGCACGGCGGGGCCUUCUGGGAGCUACCGAAGUGUCCUGCUGGGAUGCCAUGAGAUGCUCGUUACUUUAGUAAUGUGCUGAGCCCGGUACACGAUGAUUGCCCGCAGAAAGUCGAUGGAGUGCCUUACCGCGAUAAGCCACACGGGUCAGUGAUGCCCCGAAUUCUCCUGUGAAAGAGGAUGCCUGGCUCCAAGGAGACUGAAUUGCACUGUGCUUCAACACAGCUGGAGGAGGGGAAGCUGGAGUGGCAAUUCCCACUAGUUUUAUCAGGAAUUUUUCUCACCACUGGCCCAGAGCACAAUAUCACUGGAAAGGGAAGACAACAUAAACAAACAUGGGAAGAAGUUAAAUCACUUACAUAGCUCCCCAAAUAUUUUCCAUAUAGAAACAUUUCGGUUUCCAGGGUUUUUUUUCCCCAAUUGUUUUAUUGUUCUAAAGUUCACAGAUAACAUUUAUUAUUGAAACCAUUUUUAACUGAACGGUUCAGUGAUGCAAAAAUAUUUAUAAUGUGGUGUAACCAUCAUCACCAUCCACCUUUGUAACAUUUUUUAUCUGAUAAACUGACGUCCAAAACCUAUUAAUAAUAGCACCUUCAUUUCCCUUUCCCUUUAUCCCUGGCAAACAUCAUUCCACUGUCCAGUUUAAUUGCCUUUUCCAAAAGAAAUAUUUAAUUUAGAGAAUGGUAUAGCUGAACAUUUUUAUAGAUGCUUAGAAUUUGGGGGAUUGGCAUAAUCAUUGUUCAUCUAAUUAAGAUGCAGUGUGAUAUUUUAACUUAUGCACCGAUCUAAUCAGGGUGAUGAGCAGCUCCCUGUCCUUAUCAUUUAUUUAUCUCUGGAAACUUGCAAGAGGAACCACUUCCGUCUAACUUUAGCUUCAGAACUCAGGAGGCUGCAUCUUCAAGGAUGACCAGACAAUUAGUCUGGCUUCAAAUUUUUAUAACAUGACUGAAACACUCAUCUGAUUAAGACAGGCUAAUCUCAAAUAAUCUUUCUAUUCGAUUAACUUAAAGUCAACUCAGUGGGAAUCUCAGUUGCAUCUUCAAAAUCUCCUCUGCCAUAAAAGAUCAUGCUGUGACAUCCCAUCAUAGUCACAGUCUUGCUCACAGGGGGCAAAGACUAUGUAGGACUCUAAAUAAGAAGCAAAAUCUGAGGUCCAUGUUAGAGUUCUAUCUGCCUAUAUCCAUCGAGCAAUUUGAGAUCUCUGCAAGGUAAAUACCAGAAGGCGUGUCAGGAAAGGACACCAAAAUAAACCUAACAGCUCAAAGCAAGAAGAAAGCUCAGAGAACAAUAAGCAAAAUACCAAAGGUACAACUCAUAACUGGAUGUCAUACAAUAUGCUACAAACACGCCUACUCACAUGGGGAACAGCAAUCAAUGUGUGUGGUGGUAGAUACCCCAUAGAUACUGAAACAUCCAUGAUAAAUGAGGAAACUCAAAAGUUCAUUGUCUCUCCUUCCUGCCGUGUGUGUGUGUGUGUGUGUGUGUGUGUGUG